This 253-nucleotide ribosomal RNA is filed under the name uncultured bacterium. RNAcentral describes it as "partial 16S ribosomal RNA". It matches the Rfam family "Bacterial small subunit ribosomal RNA", at positions 524 to 776 of the family's 1533-position model. The record is from RNAcentral.
UACGUAGGGGGCAAGCGUUGUCCGGAAUCAUUGGGCGUAAAGAGCGUGUAGGCGGUCCGGUAAGUCCGCUGUGAAAGUCGAGGGCUCAACCCUCGAAUGCCGGUGGAUACUGUCGGGCUAGAGUGCGGAAGAGGCGAGUGGAAUUCCUGGUGUAGCGGUGAAAUGCGCAGAUAUCAGGAGGAACACCUAUUGCGAAGGCAGCUCGCUGGGACGUAACUGACGCUGAGACGCGAAAGCGUGGGGAGCAAACAGG